Oreochromis niloticus (Nile tilapia) is the source of this 1674-nucleotide long non-coding RNA. RefSeq lists it as uncharacterized. The record is from RefSeq and is a predicted model, not a curated record. NCBI's taxonomy places the organism in Eukaryota, Metazoa, Chordata, Actinopteri, Cichliformes, Cichlidae. The transcript is spliced from 4 exons.
GUACAUGUCUCAAUUGUCUCAGUGCAUCUUUGCAAAUGAUUAAGUACAAGUAGCCUACAGUUAUACAGUUAGCCCACAUUUAGCACAUUUUCCAAAUGAAUAGAUCUUGUAGAUCUAAACUGAUUAGUUGAUUCCCAGUCUAAUGAUCAUUCUCUCCAAAACAUGUCAGCAUGAUUUCAUUGUAUAAGUACUCGCAUGCACAACUGUCUGUUCAAUUGUCAAAACUGGUCAAGAACAUAAUACCAUGAAUACCAUAUAUGAAUUUCUUUGAAUAUUUGAUAAAUUGAUGACAGUCAUUGACAGUCAGGUGAAACUAGACUAACGAAGGGGGAGUGUCACACACAGGUGUGUUCCAUGAUUGUGUGCUGCCAAACACAGAUAUAUAGAGCUUGACCAGAGCCAGUCCAAUCUCUGAACAUGGAUAGACAAGGCCAAGCAAACGGACAAGGGGAAGGUCUCCCUUGAGGAGGAGGAGGAGGAGGAGGAGGACUGAGAAUGCGUCGUGGAGGAAUAGGGGGAAGAGGCCGAGGUGCGCGAAGACACUGUGCUGUCCCGAAUGAAAUUCGGGCCACAAUUAUAGACCAUGUCAUAAACCGUGGCCUCACAAUGGCAGAGGCAGGUCGUCUAGUGCAGCCUAAUGUGCCUCGCUCUACAGUCUCCUCCAUCAUCCAAACCUUUCGCAGGGAAAACAGGAUUGGACGACAACCUCGCGUGGGUGGCAGAGGAAAACUGCUCAAUGAACAACAGGAAAGAGAGACUUGUAACAUGGUGAUGGCAAAUAAUGCCAUCACAUUGAGACAGAUCCGUGAUGCCAUCCUUCAGGACAAUCAUAUAUUCCAGAAUAUAAACACAAUAAGCAUCUCCACAAUAGACCGGGUUUUGAAGGAGCAUCAGAUGAUAAUGAAACAAAUCUACAGGGUACCAUUUGAGAGGAACUCUGACAGAGUGAAGGAGCUGCGCUACCAGUAUGUAAAUAAAUGAGCCAAACCAAUGGAGAAAAACUGAAAUGCAGCACUACGGACGAUACCUACAGCCAGCAUUACCGAGACUAACAAGCUGAUCUACACCAGGGCAGCAGUGAUCAGUGAGAUGCUUGGCUAUAAGUUGAACAGCCACAAGGAGCAGUACCCUCCAUGGAGAAGGAGACUAGAGGUUAAGAUCAAAUAGCACAGAGCUCCAGAUUUGAGCUUGCUAUCAGAGCACCAUUCCAAAUGGAUCCGACAUUGGAGAGGAAAAGGGGAGUGUGUCACCAUAGCAACACAGCCUGCAACAGCUAUUCUCAUGGUAUAGAUAGAGGGAGGAGCGGCAAAGGCUAAUUCAGCAGCUUGUUCCGUUAAGCAGUGAAAAUGUGAGGAAGAAAACCAUGAAUGACACAAAGACCAUUGGACACCUGAACAGUAAAAGGGGCAAUGCUAUGCUCUUGAGCAGUGUUGUGCGCUGUGCUCAGAUUGCUGAGCUUUUACAAAAUUGGCAACAUUCACAAUAUUGUUUCAUAACUGAGUUAACAUUAUGUACUCACAAGCCUCAGUAGAAUAAAAAUAAAAAACAAAUGGGUUAAUAUGUUUGCUGAGUCUAGCAUGUCCCUGUAACAAAGCAUUUGCACUGUAAAGCUUGCUGUAAAUGUUGUAAAUCUUGUGGCUGAAAACAUCACAAAGCUAACAAACACUCAAAUAA